UGGCCUCCAAWUCAGGWAGAACUCCCGCCUAACUUAAGCAUAUCAAUAAGCGGAGGA
This 57-nucleotide ribosomal RNA is filed under the name Schizophyllum commune. RNAcentral describes it as "partial 28S rRNA". Lineage: Eukaryota; Fungi; Basidiomycota; Agaricomycetes; Agaricales; Schizophyllaceae. The record is from RNAcentral.